Molecule: transfer RNA, 76 nt
Filed under: Acidobacteriota bacterium
Lineage: Bacteria; Pseudomonadati; Acidobacteriota
Description: Acidobacteria bacterium (wastewater metagenome) tRNA-Thr
Rfam family: tRNA
About the family: Transfer RNA (tRNA) molecules are approximately 80 nucleotides in length. Their secondary structure includes four short double-helical elements and three loops (D, anti-codon, and T loops). Further hydrogen bonds mediate the characteristic L-shaped molecular structure. tRNAs have two regions of fundamental functional importance: the anti-codon, which is responsible for specific mRNA codon recognition, and the 3' end, to which the tRNAs corresponding amino acid is attached (by aminoacyl-tRNA synthetases). tRNAs cope with the degeneracy of the genetic code in two manners: having more than one tRNA (with a specific anti-codon) for a particular amino acid; and 'wobble' base-pairing, i.e. permitting non-standard base-pairing at the 3rd anti-codon position.
Source: RNAcentral
GCCGACUUAGCUCAGUUGGUAGAGCGACUGAUUCGUAAUCAGUAGGUCACCAGUUCAACUCUGGUAGUCGGCUCCA